RNAcentral lists this ribosomal RNA (253 nucleotides) under uncultured bacterium. RNAcentral describes it as "partial 16S ribosomal RNA". It matches the Rfam family "Bacterial small subunit ribosomal RNA", at positions 524 to 776 of the family's 1533-position model. The record is from RNAcentral.
UACGUAGGGCGCAAGCGUUGUCCGGAAUCAUUGGGCGUAAAGAGCUCGUAGGCGGCCUGUUGCGUCCGCUGUGAAAUCCCGGGGCUUAACCCCGGGCGUGCAGUGGAUACGGGCAGACUAGAGGCAUGCAGGGGAGAACGGAAUUCCUGGUGUAGCGGUGAAAUGCGCAGAUAUCAGGAGGAACACCGGUGGCGAAGGCGGUUCUCUGGGCAUGUCCUGACGCUGAGGAGCGAAAGUGUGGGGAGCGAUCAGG